This 771-nucleotide long non-coding RNA is filed under the name Prunus persica (peach). Its description in RNAcentral is "long non-coding RNA (PPER_LNC005449)". The record is from RNAcentral. Lineage: Eukaryota; Viridiplantae; Streptophyta; Magnoliopsida; Rosales; Rosaceae.
UUCAGCCUAUAUUUUGAGUAUAAUAAUGAAGUUCCCUAAUAUUUUUAGCAGGGAAAAAAAAAAAAAAAAACCAUCUCAGUGCCCCACUCACUAUUUUAUAAUAACAUAUCAUAAAUAAACACAUCGAUUUGUUUUGGGGGAGCUUCUGUAAUGAGGGAUAAAAGUGAAAGAUUAUAAUGAGGGUAUUCAAUCCAGCGUCCAAUAAUAAUUUUGCACUAGAUCGAACGACUAUUAAGUAACCCCUCAUUAUAAGUCCUCAUUUUUACCCCUCAAUAUAGCCUCCAAGAGGUUUGGGUUGGGUUGCACCAACAAUUAUACUUCAAUGAAGAUGGUUAGUUAGUUUAGUUACUAAAUGGGACCAUAUAUAGAGAAACGUGUCCAGCAUGUCCGUGAAUUGAUAACAACCUUUGAUGUGUUGGUUUAAGGUUUUAUGAGGAACAACAAAACCAAACCUAUCCACCCAACAACUCCUUGGCUACGAAUUAAAUCCAUGGAAUAACAAGUGGGCAGUGAGGCUAAAAUCAUCAAGUCCCUCCUAAUGGAGGAGGUCUUGGAUGGACCGGAUAGAUCAAAAUACAUAGAAAAUUUGACUUUUGUGUGGGUGAUCAGAUACAAUAAUCCGACCGACAAACAUAAGAAUUUCUCUUCAAUCAGAUCAUUAAAAAUUGCUUACUUACCAACCUUCUAGGAGGAACAACUAAACCAAACUUAUUCACCCAACAACUCAUUGGCUACUAAUUAAAUCCAUGGAAUAACAAGUGCGCAGUGGGG